AGUGAACGCUGGCGGUAGGCCUAACACAUGCAAGUCGAACGGCAGCACAGUAAGAGCUUGCUCUUACGGGUGGCGAGUGGCGGACGGGUGAGGAAUACAUCGGAAUCUACUUUUUCGUGGGGGAUAACGUAGGGAAACUUACGCUAAUACCGCAUACGACCUACGGGUGAAAGCAGGGGAUCUUCGGACCUUGCGCGAUUGAAUGAGCCGAUGUCGGAUUAGCUAGUUGGCGGGGUAAAGGCCCACCAAGGCGACGAUCGGUAGAUGGUCUGAGAGGAAGAUCAGCCACACUGGAACUGAGACACGGUCCAGACUCCUACGGGAGGCAGCAGUGGGGAAUAUUGGACAAUGGGGGCAAGCCUGAUCCAGCCAUACCGCGUGGGUGAAGAAGGCCUUCGGGUUGUAAAGCCCUUUUGUUGGGAAAGAAAAGCAGCAGGUUAAUACCCCGCUGUUCUGACGGUACCCAAAGAAUAAGCACCGGCUAACUUCGUG
RNAcentral lists this ribosomal RNA (492 nucleotides) under uncultured bacterium. RNAcentral describes it as "partial 16S ribosomal RNA". It matches the Rfam family "Bacterial small subunit ribosomal RNA", at positions 29 to 507 of the family's 1533-position model. The record is from RNAcentral.